UUUACACUCCUACGGGAGGCAGCAGUGGGGAAUCUUGGACAAUGGGCGCAAGCCUGAUCCAGCCAUGCCGCGUGAGUGAUGAAGGCCCUAGGGUCGUAAAGCUCUUUCGCCAGGGAUGAUAAUGACAGUACCUGGUAAAGAAACCCCGGCUAACUCCGUGCCAGCAGCCGCGGUAAUACGGAGGGGGUUAGCGUUGUUCGGAAUUACUGGGCGUAAAGCGCGCGUAGGCGGACUGGAAAGUUGGGGGUGAAAUCCCGGGGCUCAACCCCGGAACUGCCUCCAAAACUCCCAGUCUUGAGUUCGAGAGAGGUGAGUGGAAUUCCGAGUGUAGAGGUGAAAUUCGUAGAUAUUCGGAGGAACACCAGUGGCGAAGGCGGCUCACUGGCUCGAUACUGACGCUGAGGUGCGAAAGUGUGGGGAGCAAACAGGAUUAGAUACCCUGGUAG
Molecule: ribosomal RNA, 446 nt
Filed under: uncultured bacterium
Lineage: Bacteria
Description: bacterial SSU rRNA
Rfam family: Bacterial small subunit ribosomal RNA
Source: RNAcentral